This is a long non-coding RNA of Oncorhynchus keta (chum salmon), 700 nucleotides long. RefSeq lists it as uncharacterized. NCBI's taxonomy places the organism in Eukaryota, Metazoa, Chordata, Actinopteri, Salmoniformes, Salmonidae. The record is from RefSeq and is a predicted model, not a curated record. The transcript has 4 exons.
ACACACACACACACACACACACACACACACACACACACACACUUUCAGAAAGUAUUCACACCCCUUGACGUUUUCACAUUUUGUUGCGUUACAGCUUGAAUUUAAAAACAGAUUCAAUUGCGAUGUGUGUAGAUCAGUGACACAAACCACAUAAUGUCAAAGUGGAAUUAUUUAAAAAAUGAACAGCUGUAAUGUAAUGAGUCAAUAAGUAUUCAACCCCUUUGUUAUUUUCAAGCCUAAACAAGUUCAGGAGUAAAAAAUAAGUUGUAUGGAUGGACUCACUGUGUGCAAUAAUAAGCGUAACAUGAUUUGUGAAUGACGACCUCAUCUCUCUACCCCAAAACAAACAAUUAUCUGUAAGGUCCCUCAGUCGAGCAGUGCAUUUUCACAACACAGAUUCAACCACAAAGACCAGGGAGGUUUUCCAACCACAAAGACCAGGGAGGUUUUCCAACCACAAAGACCAGGGAGGUUUUCCAACCACAAAGACCAGGGAGGUUUUCCAACCACAAAGACCAGGGAGGUUUUCCAACCACAAAGACCAGGGAGGUUUUCCAACCACAAAGACCAGGGAGGUUUUCCAACCACAAAGACCAGGGAGGUUUUCCAACCACAAAGACCAGGGAGGUUUUCCAACCACAAAGACCAGGGAGGUUUUCCAACCACAAAGACCAGGGAGGUUUUCCAACCACAAAGACCA